GGUUCUGUGCCUGAAUUACAAAGACAGCUCUUCAGCCAGCUCAUUCCAGAUGAAUGAAUGAUUACGUGAAGUGUGGUCUACACUUCCUCUGGGGGUCCUUUCUUUCGGCAGCAAAUUCUCCCUCACCUUCCUUGAGCUCAGUUCUUGGGCCUCCUGGCUCGGUGGACUGGGAACAGUCCAUACAUGCGUGGGGACUCGGGAGAGAAAAUAAAGGCUUUGUGUCCCGGCCGUGAACACAGCCAGAUGGCAGCACCCCCAUCUUUCCCUCAAAGGUGGGCUUCCUGCCGCUGGCCUCUUGCAGCGGGGCCCACGCAUGUGCUGGAGAAAACCUUUUUCAUCUCAUCUCUGGGGUUGGCAUCUCUGACAUACGUUAUUUUAGCCAAGGGCUAUUUCUCUGUGAUUUUACAUUUUGG
Molecule: long non-coding RNA, 413 nt
Filed under: Bos grunniens (domestic yak)
Lineage: Eukaryota; Metazoa; Chordata; Mammalia; Artiodactyla; Bovidae
Description: lncRNA (ENSBGRG00000003685.1)
Source: RNAcentral